RNAcentral lists this unclassified non-coding RNA (1862 nucleotides) under Hevea brasiliensis (rubber tree). The record is from RNAcentral. Lineage: Eukaryota; Viridiplantae; Streptophyta; Magnoliopsida; Malpighiales; Euphorbiaceae.
GCAUCUAAAGCAAUGCAAGAUAGGCGAGUUUUUGAUGGAAUCUUUCUUAUGAUUGUUUAAGUUAUCAGGGCAUAUUUUUUUACAUUAGGCUCUAUAAUGGUCAGAAUUUGGUUGCACACAUCUCUACCCAUUAUCUUCAGCCUAUCUCCUUGGCCGUGGGUUUUUUUUUUUUUUUGACAGAGGGCGCGAGCAUGCACACAGGACACGGACAACACACACUCCCCUUAACAAAACCAUGGCCUAUCUCCCUUAUUAGUGAAAUGCUGAAUGUAAAAUUAUAGCAUACUUCAAACUUUUUAAUGGCUAAUUACCCAAAAAACUCCUGAACUUACAGCUUUUAUUUUUUUAUUUUUCUGUUUUUUCAAUCAAUGUUUCAUACGAACUUUUAGAUGGUUUUAAUUUUAGUCUCUGGUCAUUUUUGGGCUAAUUGGAGCUAGAAUUUGCUGAUAUGGAAUCUGAGGUCAAUAAAAAAACCAACUUGGCAAAAAUAAUGCUGAUUCAGCAAGAAAAAUUGCCAACUCAUUCCUUUAAUAAAGCCCCCUUUUUAGAUUAGGUAUUCCUCUCUUUCUCUACUUGGCCUGUGCUAAUUUCUUGCUUUGUUUUCCUCUCUCUAUUUAUCUCCAUCAAUUAAACCUUCUGUCUAGAAUUAAAAUCCCACCUGCUUCCCAUCAAUUCAACUAUCCAUAGAAAUAAAGACACAUUGCUAAAUUGCUUUGAAUAGCGUACCAUGGCCUAGGCUCCAAGACCCACAACUCUCCCAAUCUAGAUACCAUUCAGACCUUUUGAAGUUAGAGUUCACUGUCCAUCCUGGAUGCUCGAGCACUGGUGUCUAAUGGUAGACUCCAAUCUUGCCAAAACCAUCUUCUUGCCUUGCCGAAGGUUACCUUCCAUCAUUUCCUUCCCUUAACCUCUUGGAUGUUGAUCCUUCUGGGUGGGUGGGACGCAUGAUUGUAAGGUUUAGAUAUAGUUUCAUUGAAGAGAGAGUUAACCCUGUUUUAGUUGCAAAUUUGUUUCCCUUUGAUUGUGUGUUCUUGGAUCAAUAUUCAUUGGGCUUUAGUCCUCUUUGCGAUAAUCUAUGUUUAGGUAAGUUAGCAUGUGAAAAAUGUGAUGAAAUCUUGAAGCAGUAUGAAAGAAUAUAAUAUCAGGUCAAGCGACCUGUUUCCUCCAAUGGGUAGACGAGGCUGGAGGUUGAAGACAGGAUUUUUUUGACCUACUCAGAAAGCUCUUUAAUUUGAUAUUUUGCCGAGUCAGCUUUUUGUAUGUUUAUUUAUUUACUUUUACGAGCCUCAGAUGCCAUGUUAAUAAGUUCCAGUACCAAUUAGCCAAAAUAUAAAUGGAAGGUAAAAUUGAAACAACUUAAAAAGUUCAUCUGAGACAUUAAUUAAAAAAAAAUAAUGAGCUAUAUAAUUGAGAAUCCACUGUAAGUGCUGGAUUUUUUUUUGUUAAUUAACCCUUUUUAAUAGAUUUAGUUCCAUCAUCAUUUUGCUUCAUAUACUCAUCCAUUAUGUCAUGUUUUUUAGGAAUCUUCAUUAAUUUUCCCCUUAAAAUUGUGAAUUUUCCAAAAUUUUCAACUAGGUAUUCCAAUUUAAUAGAAAUAAAAUCUCUAUAAAAUGGAAUUGUUUAGAACUUGGCUUUAAGGGCGUUGCAGUCCUCCACUUCCUCAAUUAGCUUGUUAAAUUCUAGGUCAUUGCAUCAAAUGCUUAGUUGCUGAUGCUCACAGUUUGCUGUGAAAGAUUAUUUUCAUGUUUCUUUAUCUAAUUGGCUGCCUUGAUACGGUGAAUAUGUACUAAUGAACAAUUUGUAUGUUGAGUUUUCAACUCCCUGAAUGUUUGUUUAACAGGUUGAUCAUCGCGAAUGUUUCA